This 253-nucleotide ribosomal RNA is filed under the name uncultured bacterium. RNAcentral describes it as "partial 16S ribosomal RNA". It matches the Rfam family "Bacterial small subunit ribosomal RNA", at positions 524 to 776 of the family's 1533-position model. The record is from RNAcentral.
UACGUAGGGGGCAAGCGUUGUCCGGAUUUAUUGGGCAUAAAGAGCGUGUAGGCGGCCAGACAGGUCUGCUGUGAAAACUCGAGGCUCAACCUCGAGACGCCGGUGGAAACCGUCUGGCUAGAGUCCGGAAGAGGAGAGUGGAAUUCCUGGUGUAGCGGUGAAAUGCGCAGAUAUCAGGAAGAACACCCGUGGCUAAGGCGGCUCUCUAGUACGGUACUGACGCUGAGACGCGAAAGCGUGGGGAGCGAACAGG